RNAcentral lists this ribosomal RNA (253 nucleotides) under uncultured Acidobacteriota bacterium. Its description in RNAcentral is "uncultured Acidobacteria bacterium partial 16S ribosomal RNA". It matches the Rfam family "Bacterial small subunit ribosomal RNA", at positions 524 to 776 of the family's 1533-position model. The record is from RNAcentral. Lineage: Bacteria; Pseudomonadati; Acidobacteriota.
UACAGAGGGGGCAAGCGUUGUUCGGAAUUACUGGGCGUAAAGGGCGCGUAGGCGGCCUGUUAAGUCAGACGUGAAAUCCCCGGGCUCAACCCGGGAACUGCGUCUGAUACUGGUAGGCUUGAAUCCGGGAGAGGGAUGCGGAAUUCCAGGUGUAGCGGUGAAAUGCGUAGAUAUCUGGAGGAACACCGGUGGCGAAGGCGGCAUCCUGGACCGGCAUUGACGCUGAGGCGCGAAAGCCAGGGAAGCAAACCGG